This 465-nucleotide ribosomal RNA is filed under the name uncultured bacterium. RNAcentral describes it as "partial 16S ribosomal RNA". It matches the Rfam family "Bacterial small subunit ribosomal RNA", at positions 28 to 506 of the family's 1533-position model. The record is from RNAcentral.
GAUGAACGCUGGCGGCGUGCUUAACACAUGCAAGUCGAACGAUGAAGCCCAGCUUGCUGGGUGGCUUAGUGGCGAACGGGUGAGUAACACGUGAGUAACCUGCCCUUGACUCUGGGAUAAGCCUGGGAAACUGGGUCUAAUACUGGAUAUGACUUCUCAUCGCAUGGUGGGGGGUGGAAAGAUUUAUUGGUCUUGGAUGGACUCGCGGCCUAUCAGCUUGUUGGUGAGGUAAUGGCUCACCAAGGCGACGACGGGUAGCCGGCCUGAGAGGGUGACCGGCCACAAGGGGAAUGAGAAACGGCCCAGACCCCGAGGGGGGGCAGGAGGGGGGAAUAUUGCAAAAGGGGCGAAAGCCGGAUGGAGCGACGCCGGGGGGGGGAGGACGGCCUUCGGGUUGUAAACCGCUUUAAGGAGGGAAGAAGCGAGAGUGACGGUACCGGAAGAAGAAGCGCCGGCUAACUACGU